UGUGAACUGCAGGACACAUGAACAUCGACACUUCGAGCGCACAUUGCGGUCCUUGGAUUUCCAAUCCCGGACCACGCCUGGCUGAGGGUCGGCCAAACUACUCCUGGGCGCGAUCGCUCUUCUUGCGUCGCGCCCGAUGUUGGGGGCACGGGAGAGGAUAUACGUCUCCUCUCUCGGCGCCCUUUGAGGCAAGAUAGUUCCGAGCGGCCGCCGCCGGGCUUGAGAGAUACUUGAUGCCCGGCCUGCAGCGGCCGCCACUGAGAACGGCAAAAAGAAAAUUUAAAAUCCGACCUCAGAUCAGGCGAGACUACCCCCUAAAUUUAAGCAU
Molecule: ribosomal RNA, 328 nt
Filed under: Cryptocercus wrighti
Lineage: Eukaryota; Metazoa; Arthropoda; Insecta; Blattodea; Cryptocercidae
Description: eukaryotic LSU rRNA
Rfam family: 5.8S ribosomal RNA (bases 1-91)
Source: RNAcentral